Oreochromis niloticus (Nile tilapia) is the source of this 461-nucleotide long non-coding RNA. RefSeq lists it as uncharacterized. The record is from RefSeq and is a predicted model, not a curated record. The transcript has 4 exons. Lineage: Eukaryota; Metazoa; Chordata; Actinopteri; Cichliformes; Cichlidae.
AGAAUCACCAAUUCACCAUCCAUGACUUGGACUGUGGGAAGGAGCUGGAGUACCAGGAGGAAACCCACGCAAGCACAGGGAGAACAUGCAAACUGCACACAAAAAGGCCAACCAGCAACAUAUCCUUCAUAAAAAGGUGUUCAACAAAGCAACAGAGAUGGAAGACAGAGCAAGAAAUAAUGGAGAAGCACUGAUUGGCUGCAGAAGGGUUACUGGCAUGUGCAUGAAAAGAAGAGAAGUUGGAGCAUGGAGGCUGAUGAUAUGACCGACGUGAGCAUUCCUGAAACAGCAAACGAUAUUUGAGCUUUUCCACUGGAUUGGUGAAAGACUGGAUCAGCUGCCCAGCUGUGAUUAUGUUGCUAGCUGUAUGUGACAUUUACCUGAACAUCAGCCAGCAGCAGAAUAGGUAAACAGCCUAAAAAAGAGUCUCAUCACAAAGAGCUUUCAGGAAAAUGUAGUUA